CCUACGGGGGGCAGCAGUGGGGAAUAUUGGACAAUGGGGGGAACCCUGAUCCAGCCAUGCCGCGUGUGUGAAGAAGGCCCUCGGGUUGUAAAGCACUUUCAGUGAGGAAGAACGCCUGGUGGUUAAUACCCAUCAGGAAAGACAUCACUCACAGAAGAAGCACCGGCUAACUCCGUGCCAGCAGCCGCGGUAAUACGGAGGGUGCGAGCGUUAAUCGGAAUUACUGGGCGUAAAGCGCGCGUAGGUGGCUUGAUAAGCCGGUUGUGAAAGCCCCGGGCUCAACCUGGGAACGGCAGCCGGAACUGGCAAGCUAGAGUGCAGGAGAGGAAGGUAGAAUUCCCGGUGUAGCGGUGAAAUGCGUAGAGAUCGGGAGGAAUACCAGUGGCGAAGGCGGCCUUCUGGACUGACACUGACACUGAGGUGCGAAAGCGUGGGUAGCAAACAGGAUUAGAUACCCGAGUAGUC
This 465-nucleotide ribosomal RNA is filed under the name Vreelandella stevensii. RNAcentral describes it as "partial 16S ribosomal RNA". It matches the Rfam family "Bacterial small subunit ribosomal RNA", at positions 338 to 795 of the family's 1533-position model. Lineage: Bacteria; Pseudomonadati; Pseudomonadota; Gammaproteobacteria; Oceanospirillales; Halomonadaceae. The record is from RNAcentral.